GAUCAUGGCUCAGGAUGAACGCUAGCUACAGGCUUAACACAUGCAAGUCGAGGGGCAGCAUGUCGGUUGCUUGCAACCGAUGAUGGCGACCGGCGCACGGGUGAGUAACGCGUAUCCAACCUACCCUUGUCCAUCGGAUAACCCGUCGAAAGGCGGCCUAACACGAUAUGCGGUUCUCAGCAGGCAUCUAACGAGAACGAAAUGUGAAGGAGAAGGAUGGGGAUGCGU
This 228-nucleotide ribosomal RNA is filed under the name uncultured bacterium. Its description in RNAcentral is "partial 16S ribosomal RNA". It matches the Rfam family "Bacterial small subunit ribosomal RNA", at positions 15 to 236 of the family's 1533-position model. The record is from RNAcentral.